AUUUUCCCUUUUUGUUUUGUAAAAAGUGAUAUAGGUACAAUACCAAUCUAUAGUUGUGGCUGAAGAGAACUUUAAUUGAUCCUAUAACGGCCUGAGGUAGAGGGGUUUUAGUCGGUAGGUCCGAGGACACCUUCCUCGGGAAUCCGACACUACCUAGUCGUGCGGACGGCUGGGUGUCUUUUGAAGAUUUCCCCUCUUCCACGAAA
This is a non-coding RNA of Agrilus planipennis (emerald ash borer), 206 nucleotides long. The record is from Rfam. Lineage: Eukaryota; Metazoa; Arthropoda; Insecta; Coleoptera; Buprestidae.